RNAcentral lists this unclassified non-coding RNA (350 nucleotides) under Hevea brasiliensis (rubber tree). The record is from RNAcentral. Lineage: Eukaryota; Viridiplantae; Streptophyta; Magnoliopsida; Malpighiales; Euphorbiaceae.
AAGUCACACAAGUCUUGCAUACUUUACGCACAAAGGUAACACAAUAAUCCAGAGAAGGUACAUUCCAGAAUCAAUGACCUUAAAUUGUUUAUAGAGUUGAUUGUUUGAUAUGCAGAUAUAGGUACCUACGGAGACACUAGCUACUAGAUAAAUGCUUACUGAGUACUGAGCCCUCAUGGCACUUGAAACAAACACACAAUAUGUAAGGAUGCAUAACGUUUCAGAAUUCAUCGAUUUUUUCAGAUGGAUGACAACAGCAAAAGACUAAGAGGCAGAAAAAAUAUCAAAUAUUUCUAGUGAAAUAAAACACCAUGACAGGUCACAAUAGCAUAGAAACAGUUAAAUAUCAG